GGUGGAUUAAAUUGUAUCAAUCCCAUGUAUUCCAACAUCCGCAGUAGUCCUGCGCUGACAAGAAACAAGAACGAGAUUUCUCUACAACUGCUGAGCCCCGAAUAUUCUUUGGCCGGCAACCCAAAACACUGGAGGAAAUAAUAAAGGUUCGUCACAGCUGCUUGAACCAACCGGACCCGCAUGGAAAUAACAAUGACCAAUGUCUUUAAUAGUUUUACCUGAAUAUUUUACCUCCGUCAGGUAAACACAUGGAAGAACUGUAAGAAAUAAUGAAAAAAAAAUUGGAAUCAUGGACACAUCAUGGUCCUUUUACAUCUCUUUUGUGGUUGUUUUGUGUGCACUUGUAGUUGAUUCUUUUUGUAUUUUCUUCGCUUUAUGGUCUUUUAAUUGACUAUCUGAUGAGAAAUGUUGACAGGGGCCCCCAAACCCCCCAUUCACUAAUCCAUCGAUUGAUCAACAUGGAGAUUAAAACUGUUCCAAGGGGCUUUAACGUCAUGAAUUAUACAUUUUACGCAUAUCAAACUUUAAUGGCCAAAAUGGCUACAUUAUGUGCUUUAAAUACUACCACAUUAUAUUUUUCUAAUCAACAGUAUUUGCUUGUAAAGGUACCACUGGAUUGAUCUGUCACAUCAUUGGAUCUUAUGUUGUUUGAAGGUUCGGAUCAGCGGAUAAUAGUAAUGUUUUCUUUCUGUGAAGAUUGAACAGAAAAUGCUCAGGUGGAUAAAAUGUGCUAUGUAUUGAACCGACUUGUAAAUAUAUUUGCCAUGUUGUUGUUGAUUAAAUAUGUAAACAAUAAUAA
This is a long non-coding RNA of Seriola aureovittata, 799 nucleotides long. RefSeq lists it as uncharacterized. Lineage: Eukaryota; Metazoa; Chordata; Actinopteri; Carangiformes; Carangidae. The record is from RefSeq and is a predicted model, not a curated record. The transcript is spliced from 3 exons.